AUUGAACGCUGGCGGAAUGCUUUACACAUGCAAGUCGAACGGCAGCACGGACUUCGGUCUGGUGGCGAGUGGCGAACGGGUGAGUAAUGUAUCGGAACGUGCCCAGUCGUGGGGGAUAACGUAGUGAAAAUUACGCUAAUACCGCAUACGAUCUAUGGAUGAAAGCGGGGGAUCGCAAGACCUCGCGCGAUUGGAGCGGCCGAUAUCAGAUUAGGUAGUUGGUGGGGUAAAGGCCCACCAAGCCAACGAUCUGUAGCUGGUCUGAGAGGACGACCAGCCACACUGGAACUGAGACACGGUCCAGACUCCUAUGGGAGGCAGCAGUGGGGAAUUUUGGACAAUGGGCGAAAGCCUGAUCCAGCCAUUCCGCGUGCAGGAUGAAGGCCCUCGGGUUGUAAACUGCUUUUGUACAGAACGAAAAGGUUUCUACUAAUACUAGGAGCUCAUGACCGUACUGUAAGAAUAAGCACCGGCUAACUACGUGCCAGCCGCCGCAGUAA
Molecule: ribosomal RNA, 500 nt
Filed under: uncultured bacterium
Lineage: Bacteria
Description: partial 16S ribosomal RNA
Rfam family: Bacterial small subunit ribosomal RNA
Source: RNAcentral